This 401-nucleotide unclassified non-coding RNA is filed under the name soil metagenome. RNAcentral's name for it is "partial contains 5.8S ribosomal RNA, internal transcribed spacer 2, and large subunit ribosomal RNA". The stretch from base 1 to 121 matches the Rfam family "5.8S ribosomal RNA", at positions 35 to 154 of the family's 154-position model. The record is from RNAcentral.
GAUGAAGAACGCAGCGAAAUGCGAUAAGUAAUGUGAAUUGCAGGAUUCAGUGAAUCAUCGAAUCUUUGAACGCACCUUGCGCCCCUUGGUUAUUCCAAAGGGCAUGCCUGUUUGAGUAUCAUGAACACCUCAACUCUUGUGGUUUCCCACAAUGAGCUUGGACUGUGGAGGUUUUGUUGGCCCUGUGGUCAGCUCCUCUCAAAUGGAUCAGCUUACCGGUGUUUGGUGGCAUUACGGGUGUGAUAACUAUCUACGCUCGUGGUCGUCUCCAAAUAACCUCCAGUGAUGGAGGUUCGCUGGAGCUUAUAAAUGUCUCUCCCCAGUGAAGACAGCCUUUGAACGUUCGAUCUCAAAUCAGGUAGGACUACCCGCUGAACUUAAGCAUAUCAAUAAGCGGAGGA